AUCAGCUCUGGAUCCUCGGAGCCCUGGAU
This 29-nucleotide non-coding RNA is filed under the name Cricetulus griseus (Chinese hamster). The record is from RNAcentral. Lineage: Eukaryota; Metazoa; Chordata; Mammalia; Rodentia; Cricetidae.